Molecule: long non-coding RNA, 432 nt
Filed under: Homo sapiens (human)
Lineage: Eukaryota; Metazoa; Chordata; Mammalia; Primates; Hominidae
Description: HSALNT0157209
Source: RNAcentral
AAUAGAAUGAUACUACUACUACUGUUGGAAACUUUACAAUCCUACAGGAACUGGGACUUUAAUAUUCAGACCUAAACCAUCUGAUCCCAGUUGUGAUACGUCUAUCACAUGAAUGAUGAAUGAUGGCAUGAAUGAUGAAAACCAGAGUACCGACUAAGGCUGGGUUAAUGUUGGCACUAAGACCUGGGGCUGGUCAACUACCCACAACUACCAUACCAAGAAGUAGAUGAAAACAGCAGAGGGUUAGCCUCAGCUGGCCUCCAAUUAAGAAUCUAUUCCAUUCUGAGUUGUGUAUCUGUUUUUCAGGCUGAUUUGCAAUAAUUGAUAUGCAGCUGAUAUAAUAAUCAUCCUCUCCUUAUUAUAUCAUGUAUGGUCUUUUUGAGAUCUGGUGAAAGUAAAUUCAAUUUAUACGUUUAAGUGAACAAAUGAUGU